Molecule: non-coding RNA, 72 nt
Organism: Ictidomys tridecemlineatus (thirteen-lined ground squirrel)
Lineage: Eukaryota; Metazoa; Chordata; Mammalia; Rodentia; Sciuridae
Source: Rfam
GGGGUUGUGGCUCAGUGGUAGAGCACUCACCUAACAUGUGUGAGGCACUGGGUUCGAGCUUCAGCACCCACA